Molecule: signal recognition particle RNA, 259 nt
Filed under: Cercocebus atys (sooty mangabey)
Lineage: Eukaryota; Metazoa; Chordata; Mammalia; Primates; Cercopithecidae
Description: Metazoan signal recognition particle RNA (ENSCATG00000018170.1)
Rfam family: Metazoan signal recognition particle RNA
About the family: The signal recognition particle (SRP) is a universally conserved ribonucleoprotein. It is involved in the co-translational targeting of proteins to membranes.
Source: RNAcentral
GCCUGUAGUUCCAGCUACUUGGGAGGCUGAGGCAGGAGGAUCACUUGAGCCUAGGAGUUCUCUAGCAGGAUCAGGUGUCUGCACAAAGUUUGGCAUCAAUAUGGUGACCUCCCCGGAGCAGGAGACCACGAGGUUGCCCAAGGAGGGAUGAGCUGGCCCAGGUCGGAAACAGAGCAGGUCAAAACUCUUGCGCUGAUCAGAAAGUUAAAGUAUCUUUGUUAAUCUCAGUUUCCUCAUGUGGAAAAUAAAACCUACUUCU